GAGGAGGCAGGGCACAUGGAGAUGACAUACUAGUAAAAGGCGCGUUUGAAAGUUGUCAAAACGCAUUAGGGCAGUGUUGAAGGAUUCUGAGCAGGGGAGGUUACCAUGGCCUGAUUUGGGGGAUAGGAGGUGGAAGAUGGAUUGGAGAGACCAGGACACUGUUAGGAGCCUAUUGUAAUAGUAUAUAUAAGAGCCAACCUGGUUCCUGACCAGGCUGGGGCCGGGAGUGUAGAGGAGCAAAGAGGUGGAGAUGACACUUUCUGGAGACAGCAUAUGAAGCUGGCACUUGAGAAUGGAUGGGGUGCAGAUCUUCCCUCCUCUGCUAAGUGACUUGAAGCUCCUGUCCUGACUACGGGAGACCUUUAAGGACCUCUCUAGCUGUGGUGGUCCACGUUUCUGAAACAGGAAAACUUCAAGGGAAAGGUAAACGGACAGCAAAUGUG
RNAcentral lists this long non-coding RNA (443 nucleotides) under Homo sapiens (human). RNAcentral's name for it is "HSALNT0382066". Lineage: Eukaryota; Metazoa; Chordata; Mammalia; Primates; Hominidae. The record is from RNAcentral.